RNAcentral lists this ribosomal RNA (715 nucleotides) under uncultured Bacteroidota bacterium. RNAcentral describes it as "bacterial SSU rRNA". It matches the Rfam family "Bacterial small subunit ribosomal RNA", at positions 81 to 796 of the family's 1533-position model. Lineage: Bacteria; Pseudomonadati; Bacteroidota. The record is from RNAcentral.
UAGCGAUACAAUAGUGGCGCACGGGUGCGUAACACGUAUGCAACCUACCUUAUAGACGGGGAUAGCCUUUGGAAACGGAGAUUAAUACCCGAUAGUACUAUUGACUGGCAUCAGUUAAUAUUUAAAGAUUUAUCGCUAUAAGCUGGGCAUGCGUCCAAUUAGUUAGUUGGUUAGGUAACGGCUGACCAAGACGAUGAUUGGUAGGGGAACUGAGAGGUUAAUCCCCCACACUGGCACUGAGAUACGGGCCAGACUCCUACGGGAGGCAGCAGUAGGGAAUAUUGGGCAAUGGAGGCAACUCUGACCCAGCCAUGCCGCGUGCAGGAUGAAGGCGUUAUGCGUUGUAAACUGCUUUUAUAUAGGAAGAAACAGACCUUGCGAGGUAAUUUGACGGUACUAUAUGAAUAAGCACCGGCUAACUCCGUGCCAGCAGCCGCGGUAAUACGGAGGGUGCAAGCGUUGUCCGGAUUUAUUGGGUUUAAAGGGUGCGUAGGCGGUUUAUUAAGUCAGUGGUGAAAGACGGUCGCUCAACGAUUGCAGUGCCAUUGAUACUGGUAGACUUGAGUGAGAUUGAGGUAGCUGGAAUGGAUAGUGUAGCGGUGAAAUGCAUAGAUAUUAUCCAGAACACCAAUUGCGUAGGCAAGUUACUAAGUCUCAACUGACGCCGAGGCACGAAAGUGUGGGUAUCAAACAGGAUUAGAUACCCUGGUAGUCC